CUCAACCACUGCGCCACCAGGGAAGUCCUCUAGUUUAUUUCUUACUUGCAUAUCUUUAAAGAUUUUCAGGUCAGAGAUCCUAUCUUCUAACUUAAAAAAAAAUUCAACCAAAACUUCUAGUACUCACAUACUGAGUUCAGGCACCCUGAACUGUUCGUUGAAUGAAUGAUCAUUGUGUUUGAAUGAAUGAUCAUUGUGUUUACCACAAUGGAAUAGGAAUAGUAAACUCAAAUUUAGUUUUAAUGGUUGAUAAAUACAAUGAUGGGCUUAUAGAACUUUAGGGGUCUUAAGAGAACAUCUCACCACGUCUACUCCUUUUACAGAUGAAGAAACCCAGAGAGGGGAAUGACUGCAGCAGAUUGGACAUCUUCUCUAACGUUCAGGCCAUACUCUUUAGUUUUCCAGUUUCAGUAACGAUGCAUCACCACUCUUGACACCACCAAAAGCCAACAAAGAAAAUACUUUGACGGAGGGAAUAAUACCUUCUUAUUCUUUGGAAGGCAGCUGAGACUGGUGGCAUGGACAAGACUUCUGGAAGCAGGAUAUCUGUAUUUUAAUGAGAUUUGGGAGAGAAGACAUUCUACUCCUGGAUGACGGUGCUGGCUUGUGCCCACGGAGUGUCGUGCUGCUCAUGACGCUUCUGUCCUGAUGGCCGGGCCUGUGGGUUUCUGGCUUAGCUGAUUUAGCCCUCACAAAUAACCAUCUGCUGACCAGUCUGCGGUUAAAUGAAACAUCCGCUUUGCUUUCCUCUACCAAUGGACUACAGAGAGUAAAUACACAAAUUGAACUACUUUGGAACUGAUAUUCAGCAAUUGAGUUCAUCCAGCCAGACUCUGGUCAGUAGAGCUGAGUUAGCAGACGUGAUUUCGGUUCCCCACGUCCUGUGUAACAGAGCACCCUUCAGCCUCUCCUGGCAGACCUCUCUAGCAACACACUCUGGAAAUGAUCCCUUGAGGCUCCUAUCAGAUGUCAUGAAGAGGUGAACUGAAAUACCUGUCCUGAUGGUGGGACCAGGGCAAGCAUGGAUGGUGCUAUUAUUGCACAGGCACCAUAACGUGCUGGAGAACACUGAAAAGUGAGCCUCACCAGUAACUAGUUUUGUGAUGUUCGGUGUUGAGGAUGGAGGGCGAUGCUGUUGAAAUAGAAUU
Molecule: long non-coding RNA, 1148 nt
Organism: Aethalodelphis obliquidens (Pacific white-sided dolphin)
Lineage: Eukaryota; Metazoa; Chordata; Mammalia; Artiodactyla; Delphinidae
Exons: 7
Source: RefSeq, a predicted model, not a curated record